AGAGCCUGUUCCUGAUAGCCAGCCUGAACGUCUUCUGCCCAAAGCACACUUUUGUCAUCGUUUUCUAACUCAUCCUGGUGGGUGCCGGGGCGCUGCUGAGGGCUGUGACCGACCGUCACAGGGAUGCAGACAUCUCUGAAAGCCGGGUCCCUCCUGUGUGGUGUCCAGCUUCUUCCCUGAAGGUUUCACAUCAUACUCACAAGAGAGAAGACAGGCACUGGCGCUGAAGGAGGUGGCAGCGCAGGGUGAGGAGCGGCACAGCAGCGGGGAAGGAUGUGGCCGAGGAGCAGAGCUGAGCAGCGGGCAGGAGGAGAUGCCGCGAGCUUUGCAGGGCGCUCAGCUGUCUGCCCGGGAGGAGCGCCACCUCCUCCACGCGCUGCGGAGCCUGGAGAAGAGCUGCCUCAAGUCUCCUCGUGGUGGACGUGGCCUCCUUUCCUGCAGGAUCUUGAGUAUCUGAAGGGCCAGCGAGGAGACGGAUGGAGUGGGGUCUCGCUGUGCUCUCCGAAGGCCUGAGAGACAGAGCGGCUCAAUGGCAGCCAUGUACCCGCAGGGCGCCCAGCUCUUCCCUCCGGC
Molecule: long non-coding RNA, 573 nt
Organism: Tympanuchus pallidicinctus (lesser prairie-chicken)
Lineage: Eukaryota; Metazoa; Chordata; Aves; Galliformes; Phasianidae
Exons: 3
Source: RefSeq, a predicted model, not a curated record